This 231-nucleotide ribosomal RNA is filed under the name uncultured bacterium. RNAcentral describes it as "partial 16S ribosomal RNA". It matches the Rfam family "Bacterial small subunit ribosomal RNA", at positions 15 to 228 of the family's 1533-position model. The record is from RNAcentral.
GAUCAUGGCUCAGGAUGAACGCUGGCGGCGUGCUUAACACAUGCAAGUCGAACGAAGCAUUUGGACGGAACUUUUCGGAGGGAAGACUAAAUGACUUAGUGGCGGACGGGUGAGUAACACGUGGGUAACCUGCCUCGCACAGGGGGAUAACAGUGGGAAACUGCUGCUAAUACCGCAUAAGACCACAUCAGCGCAUGCUGAAGUGGUAAAAGAUUUAUCGGUGCGAGAUGG